GCUGGGCGCAGAGGCGCACACCUGUAAUCCCAGCAGCUCGGGAGGCUGAGGCAGGAGGAUCGCAAGUUCAAAGCCAGCCUCAGCAAUGGUGAGGCACUAAGCAACUCAGUGAGACCCUGUCUCUA
Molecule: small RNA, 125 nt
Filed under: Marmota monax (woodchuck)
Lineage: Eukaryota; Metazoa; Chordata; Mammalia; Rodentia; Sciuridae
Source: RNAcentral